GACGAACCGUGCGAACGUUGUUCGGAUUCACUGGGCUUAAAGGGCGCGUAGGCGGGCGAGCGAGUCCGGGGUGAAAUCUUUCGGCUUAACCGGAAAAGGGCCUCGGAUACCGGUCGUCUGGAGGGAGGUAGGGGCAGCUGGAACUUCCGGUGGAGCGGUGAAAUGCGUUGAUAUCGGAAGGAACGCCGGUGGCGAAAGCGAGCUGCUGGACCUCUUCUGACGCUGAGGCGCGAAAGCCAGGGGAGCGAACGGG
This 253-nucleotide ribosomal RNA is filed under the name uncultured bacterium. RNAcentral describes it as "partial 16S ribosomal RNA". It matches the Rfam family "Bacterial small subunit ribosomal RNA", at positions 524 to 776 of the family's 1533-position model. The record is from RNAcentral.